AUAAUUUCCGAGUCCACACUUAGACUUCCCAGGAAUGUUUUUAGUAAGAAAAUCAAUCAAACGAGCCUUUAAAACUAAAUAGGUGGUGAGUUGCCUCUCCAGACAAAGUCACAGGAAGCGCUUCCCUCUCUUACAUUGUCUCUUCUGUUCCUUCUCUCUCUCCAGGUCAUGAUAAUGGUACCCUGUGGGCCUUUGUUGCCUCACUACGGAUGCAUUUUACUCUUAUUUCACAGUACCUACAAGGAGCAAGCAACUCUGCUGGAUAAACACACAUGGUUUCCUGUUCAAGUAACAAAUUUUGUCCUUAGUUUAAUAUUUUCUGGUGUUCCCUGAUACAGAAAUUAGAGCUGCUUAUAUUUGCUGUCUGCUUCCAGAAGAUCCAGUUGCUACCUAAAAAACUCGUGGACACUGAGUACAACCAAGGCAUAAACAGGCCUGAAUUUCAGCUCUUUGCUGGAUUGAUUCUUACGCCUGAGCACUUGAUAAAACACUCAGUAGCAAAACCUCUUUGUCCAGCCUGAGGACAGCACUGGUAGACACCCAGCCCUUUCAUGUGGGCAGAAAUGAAAUGCAGCAACAUGUGCGUGUGUGACCAACCUGCAGAAUCACCGAGGUUGGAGCUGUGUUUUUAUGGUUUUCUUUGUCUUUACUAACGAGUCCCAGGGCAUUUUGCAGAAUGCACAUUGUAGCCACGGGCUGAGCCCUGUGCCCAGCUCGGGGCCGGGACGUGUUGGCAUUUCAGCGCCAGCGACACUUCGCUCUGGUUGUUACAAGAGGAAGUGAAGAACAGAAGUUCCCCGUCUGAAACCGUGGGGGGAAGUUUAGUGUGGUAGAAUGUAAUUAUCCAAACUGGAACAUGGCCAGGAUCCUGGAGUUAAUAACACCCUCUGCUCUUGCAAAAAGUGUCAUAGGAUCUUUAAUGACUGUUAGUGGUCAGCGGGCUUCACGUCACAUCUCCAGGACUGAUAUUGAACAGAUCAGGAGUGUGGGUAUUCCUGUCUGUGUGUAACACAAAUAUCUGCAUGGCCUGUGGCUGCAGCCUUCAGGCUGAGGAGAGAAUUGAGCUGAACAGCCAGGGAGGAGACAUUAAUCUUAAUGAAAAUGAUCCCAUUGAAGGCAGAUGACGUGCAGUUGGUGAAGAACAGCUGAGAUGUUCACUGAAGUGCCCAUAAGGUAGUAUUUGGGGUCCACCAAAUCACCAAAUCCUCAGUGACCAUCAACAUUGUGUAGUUCGGAGGAAUGGAACAAAAAAAGGUUUACAGCAUCCUCUGUGUAAUAGGAUCAAUAGGAUGUGGAAAUCUGUAGUAUGAAUUUACCCUGAUUUCUGUAGUACUGGGAACUAUGUGCAAAUGAGUUGGGAAGUGGGUGUAAGUGGUAAGAUUGCGUUGUGCUAAUUAGCCUGGCAUUGAUGAACUGUACAAAGCCUGGGAACUUCCACAGCAGGAAAGAGAGCACAUCACAGAGAAUCCCUUUCGUCACAACUGACUUGUGCCACGGGACUUCAAUUAAAAACCAGACCAGGCCACUUUUAAUCGCUUUAAUGAGAAAUUACUUUUUUAAAAAAGAUAAUCUUUGUUAAACUGUCUGUCUUCUUCUAGCAGUGCAGCCCAUCAUGAUGGGAGAUGAGGUGCUAAUUAUCUGUCUUGGCUGCUUUUUCUGAUCACAAGGUUUGUUAUUCUAUCCUGCACCUGGCACUACAGGCUCUGGUGUUUGGAAUCAGUGGGCAUUACUACAGUGCCAGCUGUAAUAAAGAGUAGAAGGCCAACGAUCCUGUAUGUUGUUAAAAUGAAGAAAGACUUGCACAGUUCUCCCCCUUUGUACAUCCCAGUACAUUGGUACUUACACCAUAACAGUAUUAUCUCAGGGAAUAUAAGUCUGCUACAGGAUAUUGCCACUUUAACCACCUGAACUGCCUUUUAGUUCCAGUUUCAACUCAGUGUCAAAAAUAUUACCCUGUUUAAGAUUAAUUUGUGACAAAAUGUCAUAUUAAUACAGCUAUAUUUCCCAGGGGAUAAAUAUGGCCUUUUGAAGAGCAGCCAUGGCUGAGUGCUAUAUAGGACUAUAGAGAAUUAUCAACAGGCUUUUGCCUUAGCAAAUGUCAUGCUACCAGAAGAAUGGAGCAGUUUGCAGUGGCAUCCAGCCAGUACCCUCUCAUGAGGAAGAAUCAAUUUGCAAGGUAUUGAGUAAGUCCUUGGGCUAUGCUGUGGAGAGGUGACCACCCAUGAAAGCCACUGACAUGAAAAAAAUGCAAGAAUCAUAUAGACCAGCAUGAAUUGGGACUUGGACAACAAGAGCCUUGGACCACAAGGACUUCAGAUACCCACAGAAACAAGGACUCAGAUACCUGGAGAGAGCUGGGGAGG
Molecule: long non-coding RNA, 2363 nt
Organism: Manacus vitellinus (golden-collared manakin)
Lineage: Eukaryota; Metazoa; Chordata; Aves; Passeriformes; Pipridae
Exons: 3
Source: RefSeq, a predicted model, not a curated record